Molecule: ribosomal RNA, 812 nt
Filed under: uncultured bacterium
Lineage: Bacteria
Description: bacterial SSU rRNA
Rfam family: Bacterial small subunit ribosomal RNA
Source: RNAcentral
GGCGAACGGUCGCGUAACACGUAGGCAACCUGCCCCGAAGUAGGGGAUAACCGGGCGAAAGCUCGGCUAAUACCGCAUGUGGCCACCGGAUCGCAUGAUCGGGUGUCCAAAGCACCUUUGGGUGCGCUUUGGGAUGGGCUUGCGGCCUAUCAGCUGGUUGGUGGGGUAACGGCCUACCAAGGCGACGACGGGUAGCUGGUCUGAGAGGAUGGUCAGCCGGAUUGGGACUGAGACACGGCCCAGACUCCUACGGGGGGCAGCAAUUAGGAAUCUUGCGCAAUGGGGGCAACCCUGACGCAGCGACGCCGCGUGCGGGAUGACGGCCUUCGGGUCGUAAACCGCUUUUCUCGGGGAAGAAGAAUGUGACGGUACCCGAGGAAUAAGCCCCGGCUAACUACGUGCCAGCAGCCGCGGUAAUACGUAGGGGGCGAGCGUUGUCCGAAGUUACUGGGCGUAAAGCGCGCGUAGGCGGCUAUUUAAGUCUGGUGUGAAAGGCUGAGGGCUCAACCCCAGCAGUGCACUGGAGACUGGGUAGCUUGAGUGCGGGAGAGGAGAGCGGAAUUCCUGGUGUAGCGGUGAAAUGCGUAGAUAUCAGGAGGAACACCGGUGGCGAAGGCGGCUCUCUGGUCUGCAACUGACGCUGAGGUGCGAAAGCGUGGGGAGCGAACGGGAUUAGAUACCCCGGUAGUCCACGCCGUAAACGAUGAGUGCUAGGUGUCAGGGGUAUCGACCCCUCUGGUGCCGCAGCUAACGCAUCAAGCACUCCGCCUGGGGAGUACGGCCGCAAGGUUGAAACUCAAAGGAAUUGACGG